CGUAGGGCGCGAGCGUUGUCCGGAUUUAUUGGGCGUAAAGAGCUCGUAGGCGGCUUGUUGCGUCGACCGUGAAAACCCGCGGCUUAACUGCGGGCUUGCGGUCGAUACGGGCGGGCUGGAGUUCGGUAGGGGGAGACUGGAAUUCCUGGUGUAGCGGUGGAAUGCGCAGAUAUCAGGAGGAACACCGGUGGCGAAGGCGGGUCUCUGGGCCGAUACUGACGCUGAGGAGCGAAAGCGUGGGGAGCGAACAGGAUUAGAUACCCUGGUAGUCCACGCUGUAAACGUUGGGCGCUAGGUGUGGGGGGCCUCUCCGGUUUCCUGUGCCGCAGCUAACGCAUUAAGCGCCCCGCCUGGGGAGUACGGCCGCAAGGCUA
Molecule: ribosomal RNA, 374 nt
Filed under: uncultured organism
Description: bacterial SSU rRNA
Rfam family: Bacterial small subunit ribosomal RNA
Source: RNAcentral